RNAcentral lists this transfer RNA (73 nucleotides) under Dermacentor andersoni. RNAcentral's name for it is "transfer RNA arginine (anticodon CCU)". It matches the Rfam family "tRNA". From Rfam's summary of the family: Transfer RNA (tRNA) molecules are approximately 80 nucleotides in length. Lineage: Eukaryota; Metazoa; Arthropoda; Arachnida; Ixodida; Ixodidae. The record is from RNAcentral.
GCCUUCGUGGCCUAAUGGAUAAGGCAUCGGUCUCCUAAACCGGGGAUUGCGGGUUCGAAUCCCGCCGAGGGUA